RNAcentral lists this ribosomal RNA (499 nucleotides) under Enterobacter cloacae. RNAcentral's name for it is "bacterial SSU rRNA". It matches the Rfam family "Bacterial small subunit ribosomal RNA", at positions 35 to 525 of the family's 1533-position model. The record is from RNAcentral. Lineage: Bacteria; Pseudomonadati; Pseudomonadota; Gammaproteobacteria; Enterobacterales; Enterobacteriaceae.
GCUGGCGGCAGGCCUAACACAUGCAAGUCGAACGGUAGCACAGAGAGCUUGCUCUCGGGUGACGAGUGGCGGACGGGUGAGUAAUGUCUGGGAAACUGCCUGAUGGAGGGGGAUAACUACUGGAAACGGUAGCUAAUACCGCAUAACGUCGCAAGACCAAAGAGGGGGACCUUCGGGCCUCUUGCCAUCAGAUGUGCCCAGAUGGGAUUAGCUAGUAGGUGGGGUAACGGCUCACCUAGGCGACGAUCCCUAGCUGGUCUGAGAGGAUGACCAGCCACACUGGAACUGAGACACGGUCCAGACUCCUACGGGAGGCAGCAGUGGGGAAUAUUGCACAAUGGGCGCAAGCCUGAUGCAGCCAUGCCGCGUGUAUGAAGAAGGCCUUCGGGUUGUAAAGUACUUUCAGCGGGGAGGAAGGCGAUAAGGUUAAUAACCUUGUCAAUUGACGUUACCCGCAGAAGAAGCACCGGCUAACUCCGUGCCAGCCGCCGCGGUAAUU